GCUCUGGUGGUGCAACAGAAAGCACUUGGCUGCUAACCAAAUUGUUGGUGGUUCAAAUCCACCUGGUGGCA
This 71-nucleotide transfer RNA is filed under the name Loxodonta africana (African savanna elephant). It matches the Rfam family "tRNA". From Rfam's summary of the family: Transfer RNA (tRNA) molecules are approximately 80 nucleotides in length. The record is from Rfam by way of RNAcentral. Lineage: Eukaryota; Metazoa; Chordata; Mammalia; Proboscidea; Elephantidae.